AUUGAACGCUGGCGGCAUGCCUUACACAUGCAAGUCGAACGGCAGCACGGGUGCUUGCACCUGGUGGCGAGCGGCGAACGGGUGAGUAAUACAUCGGAACGUACCUUAUCGUGGGGGAUAACGCAGCGAAAGUUGCGCUAAUACCGCAUACGCCCUGAGGGGGAAAGCGGGGGAGCGUAAGGCCUCGCGCGAUUAGAGCGGCCGAUGGCUGAUUAGCUUGUUGGUGAGGUAAAAGCUCACCAAGGCGAUGAUCAGUAGCUGGUCUGAGAGGACGAUCAGACACACUGGGACUGAGACACGGGCCAGACUCCUACGGGAGGCAGCAGUGGGGAAUUUUGGACAAUGGGGGCAACCCUGAUCCAGCAAUGCCGCGUGAGUGAAGAAGGCCUUCGGGUUGUAAAGCUCUUUUGUCAGGGAAGAAACAGCAGCUCUAACACAGUCUGCGAAUGACGGUACCUGAAGAAUAAGCACCGGCUAACUACGUGCCAGCAGCCGCAGUAA
RNAcentral lists this ribosomal RNA (501 nucleotides) under uncultured bacterium. RNAcentral's name for it is "partial 16S ribosomal RNA". It matches the Rfam family "Bacterial small subunit ribosomal RNA", at positions 29 to 523 of the family's 1533-position model. The record is from RNAcentral.